RNAcentral lists this long non-coding RNA (35025 nucleotides) under Lynx pardinus (Iberian lynx). The record is from RNAcentral. Lineage: Eukaryota; Metazoa; Chordata; Mammalia; Carnivora; Felidae.
UGGCUCUCCUACAUCCACCUUGCAGGCUGCAGAUCUUGGGACUUCUCAGCCUUUAUAACCAUGUGAGCUGAUUGUUUAUAAUAAAUCACAUAUAAUUGAGUGUGUGUUUACAUGUAUGUGUGUAUCUCUUUUGGUUCUGUUUCUCUGGAAAAAUCUAAUACAGCUGACAAAGGAAUUUACUCUUUAUUCCAACCAGACCUAGGCCCCUGACCUCUAUUUUUUCUUACAGGAGUUACUUAUAAAUUAUUUCACUGUCCCUUUGAGGUGUAAGUCUUCUACCACUCAAAAUUGUCUCCUUGAAUAACUCCUUGGGCCAUUGCUUGAAAAUGCAAAUAUCCAGGGGCACUCAGUCAGUUAAGCAUCUGACGCUGUUUUCAACUCAGGUCAUAAUCUCACAGUUUCAUGGGUUCAAGCCCUGCUUCAGGCUCUGUGCUGGCAGGGCACAGCCUGCUUGGAAUUGUCUCUCUCUCUCCCUCUCUCUGCCCCUACCCCACUCAUGCUAUCUCUGUCUCUCUCAAAAUAAAUAAAUAAAUAAAAUGCAAACAUCCAGGGAGAUGGCUGUCCUAUUUCCCAGUUCCCUUGGGACAGUAAGCCUAACUUUGGUGGGCACCUUCUCUAAUUUGCAAAACUAUCUCCUGUUCUAAAGAUAUAAAAAGUUCGUUUCUCCCCCAGGUAACUGCCAAUUAACAAACUACGAUGGCCUAGUCACAUUGGCCAAACCCCUUUAAUCCAAUUCAGUACUUUUCCUAAAUUUAGUGCAUUCUUGCAUUCUAAAAACCUCCUAUAUUACAUUUUGGUGGAGUUGAACCCAGAUUAUACUGAAAUAUCUCUCUCCUACUGCAGUAGUCUGAAUAAAAUCUGUCUUGCAACUUUUAUUAUUUUUAAAUUAUUUUUUAAUGUUUAUUUUUGAGACAGAGAGAGAGCAUGAGUAGGAGAAGGUCAGAUAGAGAGGGAUACACAGAAUCCAAAGCAAGCUCCAGGCUCUGAGCUGUCAGCACAGAGCCCAAACACAGAGCUGAACCAACAAGGCACUAGGUUGCAACCUGACCCGAAGUCAUAUGCUUACUGGACUGACCUACCCAGGUGCCCCUUUCUUCCAACUUCUAAAGUUUUUCUUUUUUUAAAUGUUUAUUUAUUUAUUUUGAGAGAGAUAGAAAGUGCAUGCACACACAAACAAGUGGGAGAGGCUCAGAGACAGAGCAAGGGAGAGAGGAAAUCCCAAGUAGAUUCUGAUGCUAGGCUGUCAGCACAAAGACUGGUGCCAGGAUUGAUCUCAUAAUCUGUGAGAUCAUGACCUGAGUCAAAAUCAAGAGUUAGAUUCUUAACUGAUUGAGCCACCCAGGUACCCCUGUCUUGCAACUUUUAACCAGUGUCUGCUGAAUUUCUCUUUGACACUAACUUGGUCACUCUCUAGAACAGACACUGACCUUGGAAAUGUGGUUAGAAUCAGAAAAAGUAAUACAACCUGAUUUAAACAUUUUUUCCUGCCUGUUGAACAAUAGACCUCACACUUUCAUUUUUCAAUGGGCUCCACAAAUUAUGUAGGUGACAUUGAUUGUAGUAGUAAUAGUAACAGUAGUCAUGGCAGCAGCAAAAGCGGACAUGUAUUAAGUGAUUCCUUUGUACCAGACUUUGGCUUAACUGUUCUUUGUGUAUCAAGUUAUUUAAUCUCAUAACAGUGGUAAAAUAUACUAUGCUAAUACAAAUCCCUUUCGAUAGUUAAAAAACUGAAGCAACAGAGAAAUUCAUUGCUUUUUUUUGGUAAAAGACAGCACCCAGUGCUCAUCCCAACAAGUGCCCUCCUCAAUGCCCAUACCCACUUUCCCCUCCCUCCCACCCCCCAUCAACCCUCAGUUUAUUCUCAGUUUUUAAGAGUCUCUUAUGGUUUGCCUCCCUCCCUCUCUAACUUUUUUUUGUCUCCUUCCCCUCCCCCAUGGUCUUCUGUUAAGUUACUCAGGAACCACAUAAGAGUGAAAACAUAUGGUAUCUGUCUUUCUCUGCCUGACUUAUUUCGCUUAACAUAACACUCUCCAGUUCCAUCCACGUUGCUACAAAAGGCCAUAUUUCAUUCUUUCUCAUUGCCAAGUAGUAUUCCAUUGUGUAUAUAAACCACAAUUUCUUUAUCCAUUCCUCAGUUGAUGGACAUUUAGGCUCUUUCCAUAAUUUUGCUAUUGUUGACAGUGUUGCUAUAAACACUGGGGUACAAGUGCCCCUAUGCAUCAGCAGUCCUGUAUCCCUUGGGUAAAUUCCUAGCAGUGCUAUUGCUGGGUCAUAGGGUGGAUAUAUUUUUAAUUUUUUGAGGAACCUCCACACUGUUUUCCAGAGCGGCUGCACCAGUUUGCAUUCUCACCAACAGUGCAAGAGGGUUCCCGUUUCUCCACAUCCUCUCAGCAUCUAUAUUCUCCUGGUUUGCUCAUUUUAGCCACUCUGACUGGCAUGAGUUGAUAUCUCAGUGUGGUUUUGAUUUGUAUUUUCCUGAUGAGGAAUGACAUUGAGCAUCUAUUCAUGUGCCUGUUGGCCAUCUGGAUGUCUUCUUUAGAGAAAGGUCCAUUCAUGUUUUCUGCCCAUUUCUUCACUGGAUUAUUUGUUUUUCAGGUGUGGAGUUUGGUGAGUUCUUUAUAGAUUUUGGAUACUAGACCUUUGUCUGAUAUGUCAUUUGUAAAUAUCUUCUCUCAUUCCAUCAGCUGCCUUUUAGUUUUGUUGGUUGUUUCCUUUGCAGUGCAGAAGAUUUCAUCUUCAUGAGGUUACAAUAAUUCAUUUUUGUUUUUAAUUCCCUUGCCUUUGGAGAUGUGUCAAGUAAGAAGUUGCUGCGGCUGAGGUCAGAAAGGUUUUUCCCUGCUUUCUCCUCUAGGGUUUUGAUGGUUUCCUAUAUCACAUUCAGGUCUUUUAUCCAUUUUGAGUUUAUUUUUGUGAAUGGUGUAAGAAAGUGGUCUAGUUUCAUCCUUCUGCAUGUUGGUGUCCAGUUCUCCCAGCACCAUUUGUUAAAGAGGCUGUCUUUUUUCCAUUGGAUGCUCUUUCCUGCUUUGUCAAAGAUUAGUUGGCCAUACUUUUGCAGGACCAAUUCUGGAGUCUCUAUUCUAUUCAAUUGGUCUAUGUGUCUGUUUUUGUGCCAAUGUCAUAAAGUUUUGAUGAUUACAGCCUUAUAAUAGAGGCUAAAGUCUGGGAUUGUGAUGCCUCUCACUUUGGUCUUCUCCUUCAAUAUUACUUUGGCUCCUUGGGGGUCUUUUGUGGUUCCAUACAAAUUUAGGAUUGCUUGUGCUAGCUUUGAGAAGAAUGCUGGUGUAAUUUUGAUUGGGAUUGCACUGAAUGUGUAGAUUGCUUUGGGUAGUAUUGACAUUUUAACAAUAUUUAUUCUUCCAAUCCAUGAGCAUGGAAUGUUUUUCCAUUUCUUUGUAUCUUCUUCAAUUUCCUUCAUAAGCUUUCUAUAGUUUUCAGCAUACAGAUCUUUUACAUCUUUUGAUAGUCCCCUCUCACCGCUAUUGUUUAACAUAGUGUUGGAAGUUCUAGCGUCAGCAAUCAGACAACAAAAGGAAAUCAAAGUCAUCAAAAUUGUCAAAGAUGAAGUCAAGCUUUCACUUUUUGUAGAUGACAUGAUAUUAUACAUGGAAAACCUGAUAGACUCCACCAAAAGUCUGCUAGAACUGAUACAUGAAUUCAGCAAAGUCACAGGAUACAAAAUUAAUGUACAGAAAUCAGUUGCAUUCUUAUACACUAAUAAUGAAGCAACAGAAAGACAAAUAAAGAAACUGAUCCCAUUCACAAUUGCACCAAGAUUCAUAAAAUACCUAGGAAUAAACCUAACCAAAGAAGUUCAUUAGUUCUAAGUAUUAGAACUGAGAUAGGGAAGAAAUAGUGAAAAUGGUAUAAAAAAAAAUAAACAGAUGAGAGGGUAGAAAGAGAAUCAAAAAGAAAUAAUGCAAGCUUGGAAUGAAGUGCUUAUUUGUGUCAACAACAUUCUUGUUUUUGUUUAAUUUUUGCUUUGUUUUGGUUUUGAUCUAGGGGUGGUGCAUAGUGCCACAAUAAUUGAGAUGGUCUUAAAGAAUGAGAUAAGUCCAGCUUUAGUUAAACUGAGUUUAUAUGAAAAUGUCUAACAGGUAAUUGGAAAUAUCGGUCUGUCACUCAAAAGCAAAGUAAAGUUGAGGAAGGAAAUUGGGAAUAACCCAGCAAGGUAAUAUUUGAGCUCAUAGGAAUACACGAUAUUGACAAACCAGAAAGACAUCCAAAGAAAGAAACUUAAGGCUUUUUUAAAGACCUGGAAGAGGGGGAGGCAGAAGUAGGGUCUGAGAAAUGCUCUUUAUUCCAGGUGCCUGCAGUUGUCAUUGAACUCAAGAGAGGGGAGAGAGUUUAAGUCAGCAAAUGUUCAAGAGUUCUAAAUGCUGCAGAGAGCUCAAGGAUGGAUGAGGAAUUGCAGAGAACCAAAUAUUGGAGUUAAGGAUAAACUUUGGUGAAUAACAAGAGAGCAAUUUCUCCAUAGUGAGAAUAAGGAGCCAGAUUGCAAAUGUUUACAAAGGGAAUUGUUGGUGAGAAAGUGAUGGUUGUUUGUUCCUUUCAGGUGUUGGAAUUGAAGAGAAAGAAAGAAUAGAAUGGUGGGGGAAAAUAGAGUCAAGGAAAACAGUUUUGGGAUCAGAGAGGUUUGUCUUAUUUAAAAGAUGAAGGACAGAAAGAAUUGAGAGGGAGAGACACAGAAGGUGUUAAUCAUUGGAACUGCAUCUUUCACCUCUCCUUAUUGGAAUCUUUCAAUCCCUUUUUCAUUUUAUUUAUGUAUUGGGUAUAUGGGUUUUGCCACUUUCAAGCAGAUAAUCUCUAUCAAUAGACUUUGGCUCACUGUAUCUCAUUUUCCAAUUUUAAUUUAAAAAAUUAAAGUUGUCUGAGUUUACUCAGGGGGGCAAAGUGGAAAUGUUUGCAAAACAGACUAUAAAAUGCAUAAGUGAAAAUUAAACACAAAAAUAUAAUUAUACAGAAAGUUUUAAAAUUUUUGUUUUAUUAUUACCACUUUCCUGUUCCUUGGAAUUCUUCCAAGGAGAACCAUGAGAGUUCAUUUUGUUACUCCCUUACAAGGAAGGGCCUGCCUGAAAGUCAACCUCAACCUCUUCUAGCUGUAGAUCAAGUUUGCUGUUUUUCCAUUCAACUGUGCCAACAUUCUAAAACUAUAAGGGCAGAAAAUAAGCAAAAAUACCAGUGAAAUAGCUGUAGGUCAGGUCUAAUAAAAAUGACAUAUUCACCAUUGUUCAUUUAGGCAUGUGAACUGACAUAUUCACAUCUUCAUAUUCAUUACUCAGGAAUCCAUUCUGAUUCUUAAAGUUAGUGUAUUAUGGUUAUCAUAUGAUUAUCUGUGGCAUCAAUUUUCCUUCCUGCUACAUUCUGUUUUUACAAGCUGUAAGCAUCAUAAACUUGGAAGAUUUUAUUGGAAAGUCAAGGUGGCAGAGUUAUGGAAAUGACUCAGAAAUGAUGCUUCCCUGCUGCAACAAUGUUGAUUUACUUGUAAUGCUAAACACACUCCACUAAGUCAUACACAGCGCUUGGGAGAGGGAUGACUAAUUAGCUCAGUGACUUAUCCGCCCACAUGCUCUGCUGAUUCUGAUACAUUAAAACAUUUUAUUAGCCUGCAAGGUCAGGAAAUCUUACUGCUUGGGUAGUAUUUCUAAAAAUUUAAUAGCAAUAGCCUGAUGUUAGUUCCUUUGCAUCUGUAGAUUGAAAAUAAAUCCUCAAAGAUGAAUAAACUCAUAUACUUAUUUCUUAGAACUUCUUUUCAUGUAGAGAUCUCAACAAAGAUUGAAACGUUUAAAAUGGAAUAAUCAUUGGCAAAGUCAGACAAUUAUUCAUAUGGUGACAAAUAAAUUCAGUUCUCUAAAAACUUAGAAUCCUCAAUAUAGUCUACUCAUUGUGCAUUUCAAUAUGAGAUAAAGAUUUGAAGUUCAUACUUGUGUGUAAAAUGCCCUCUUUUAGCAUAUCUGAUCAGUGGAUCAUCUUCAGCAAGCAUUUCUAAAGACUGACAUGUUUCAGGAUGUUCAAUGUGCAGCUGUCAAUGGUAGAGCUGUAAACAGAACCAGAGUAACUAAAUAUUCAAAUAGGGAUUCUGUAAUCAUAAGUGACAUUAGCCUACAUUCAAUCUUUAGUAGAUAGAACACACACAAAUUGAAAAUUUAUUUUCCAACAUCAUCACCAUAAUCAUUAGUUGGGCACAGAAAUAUUACAUUAAAUUAGACAACUAUGGGCCAUGUUAAGUUGGGAGAAUUAUGCUCAUCUCUUAGUUUUCUGCCAUUGACUAAAUCCCACAGUUGGUGCACUGUCUUCUUUGCAUACAAAAGAUGGUGGCAUUUAUUUCUAGGCAGUUAAUUGCUUUUCCAAUGUUAAUCACUUGAAAUAUCCUAUACAUUUGAUUAGCAUCUCUUAGAGCAAAAAGUACUGAAGCAAAAGUGUUGUGGGGAAAGGAAAAAAGGUAGAAAUCAAAAUAAAGCCAGAGGGCAAAGAAUGAGCUGGGUAGUUUAUUUUUGAAUGCAGAAAUAAUACAUUGAUUAACCUGAAGCAGGAAAUAUUUGAGAUUCAUAUAUGUUGCAACUUUUCCGUAAGUACCAUAUUGUCCCAUGUCAUUAAAAACAUGCAAUGCCAUUUUUUUUCUUUCCACUUUGGACUCAGUCAUUUUCUAUUCAACUGCUACAUUCUGAAGACUACCUACCUCUAAGAAAGCACAAAAAUAUUUGAAGUUGAGGAAAUAUAAAAACAGACCUAAUGAAUUAUUAAUUGCUUUUAAAUUUUAUGUGUAAAAGUUUGAUAAUCCUGCAAACCAAAGUGGUUCCCCAAAUCCUUGAGCACAAAGCACACUUUUUCUACUUUUUCUGUUUCCUCAUUCUGACACUUUUCAUUCAUAAAACAAUGAUUCAAUUUUUAUGUAUGUAUUUUUUUUCUCAAACUUUACAGUUCUGACAAUGAAUCAUGAGUUUCAACUGUGCCCACAUCUUAAACUAUCCAACUCUGCCCAUAUCCUAAAACUGUAAGGAUAGUAGUACAAAUUCCAGGAGAGUAGCUUUGAGUAAAUUCUAAUAAAAAUACUUACUCAGCAUUAUUCACUUAUGUAUAUGAACUGACAUAUUUGCUUCACUUUGGGUAGAACACAGCACAAGAAAGAGUAUGGGUGAUUGAGAUGUCACAGAUCUGAGUUCAAAUUUAAGUUUUGCUAUGAACCUCACUGUAACCUUGAAGAUAUAUCAUAUUCCAUCUCAGCAUCAAUUUUUUUGAGCUGUAAAAUGAUGAGAUUGAGUCAAAUGACCAUGCUUUGUGCCCAAUAACAUGCACCCCAAUUCUCAGUACAUAUACAAAUAAAAUGUGGAUGAAUUGAAGGCUUCCACAUAUGCAGGGGGAAAAAAGUACUUUUAAACACAGUUGGCAUCUGAGUUAAAAUGAGAAAAUCAAUAAACAUUUAAUUCAAGACAGAAAAAUGUGUUCAAGCUUUCUUACCAUAGUUAAGGGAAGGCAUCUUAUGACUUUGAACUUUACUUCCUAGUUACAAACAAGUCGCCUUUCUUCUUUAAAGAAGGCGGAAGUAUUUUACCUACCAAAUCAUCUAGUCAUUAAAAAGCAGUACACUGAUGUAAGAAUUUCCACUGGAAAUCAGGAGCUCUGUUCCACUUAGAUAGUGUAAUAUCUAUAUUAUAUCUCUAUUAAGCCCCAGAGUCUUAUUAACCUCAAUCCUUUUCAUGUGCAUUUUACUUAUUGAGCUAAAGUUGUGUAGCACAUAGACUGUUAAUAUCCAUUUAUACCUCCUUAAGCCUAGCUGAAUUUCUUGAACCCACAAUAAAGAGUUAUUUUUUGGAACAUAUGAAAGGGAAAAAAAUCUUCUGUUGAGCUAGAUUUAUGAAGACUGAAAAAGUCACCUAAUCACACAAUCAUCAUGUAAGUAAAUACAACCUUAAGUAACAAAAUGAACGUGUACGUAUUGGGAUAUUUUUUCAUUAAUAUUCUAGUUAAAUUACAAAGAGAUUGUCAACAGUUAUAUGGGCAGAAACAGGUCAUUUUUCACAUGAGUAAUUUAUGAAUGCAUUCUCAGAUGAAAUAGAGGCACCCAUACUUGGUGUCAGCUAUCCCCCCACAGAAAACUCACCUCAUGGUUGAAUGCCCUUAAGGCAGGCUCUCCAGCCAUCCAUUUUCAGAAUGGGCCAUGAUAUUUUUACCAAAAGGAAAAAGGGACUCAGGAUCUGCAUGCUUUGUUCAAAAGCAAAUGGUUAGCAGAGAGAUACCUGUAAAGAUUUCACCUCUGGCCUAAGACCCUCACUCUCCCCAGGAACUCACCUAAAAUAUUGUACACAGAGAUUUUUAAAACCUGUGUCUUUUUCUAUAUCACUAAAAUAUCCUUUUUAAAACAUGUGAUAUAUGAAGGGGAGAUUAACACUGAAGUACCCAUUUCAGAGCAGUCAUUUUAAACAGCAUAUACAAAUAUAUAAGAGGAGAGUGUUGGAGAGUAAGUGUGACAAUGUCCCUGAGAUCUUCUGAAAUUGGUUAGGAACAAAUUAGAGUUUCUGGAUUUCUUUUGAUUUGUAAUUAUGCAGAGAGACAGAGACAGUUUCUUAUUAUCAAUAAUGUGAGCUUCAUGUCCAGGCUUGUUUGAACUGGCGAAACUUAUGGCAUAUUUGGUAGGAAAAAAAUAAUAAAACAGAUAUGAUAUAACUCAUAAAUCUAAGUUUUCCUAUUGUUCCCUAGGAAAGAUGCCAAAAAAUAAGGUAUGAAAUGAAUUUAUAUCGCUUAUUCAAGCAGCAAUCAUUAAGUCCUGAGCCAUUUUCCCGUUUGAAUAAUGAUGGGAUUGCUCUCAUGGAAUAUGGAAUGUUUUCACAUAGGAACACACAUUUUUAUAUACAUGUAUAUUCCUUUGAAGGCGUUAUGCUUUCUGGUCUCUAUGCAGAAUAUAUAGCUUAACUGAUUCAGUUUCUUGAGCCACAAAAUGAGACAUGCAGAGAUCAAACACUUAAUAUUAAUUUGGCUUUUAUGCUACAGCCUGUAUAAGUUCAGGUUCACAAGGCUGUGAAGGGGAAUAUGUCAUAAACAAGAAAUAGUGAUGAGUCACAUGAAUUUGCAACUCUUUGGCCCUAUUUACUCUUUAGUUCUGAAUUUAAAUCACCUUUGAAAAUAGGAACAUAAAUGAAUUUAGACCACAAGAAUAAGUACUGCAUUAAAUACAUAGUCAAAAAGUAAAUAAAAUUCCUGCAGGAAGGUAAAAUGUACAAAUCCAGUACUAAAAACUAACCAAGAAUCUACAUUUCCAAAGUCUGCAACUGUUUUCUGGUAGUGACCCACACCUUGCCAUAACCUCAACAAAUUAAUAGAUAUGCGCUGAAGAAAAUUACUACAUUUCUUAUUUCUUUCCAGGUUGGCUACGUAAUGUAUACUGUAAUAUCUAUCUUUAAAUACUUUUCCUUCCCCCUAGAGGAUUUGAAGACUUAGGCUUUCUUAGAAAUGACAAAAAAACAUAAUACGUCUUUUUGAAGGCAGAACUGCAGGUAGUUUGAAGAAUGGUCUAAUCCAAAAAAUUCUCACGCUUGUUAUUCAUUAAUUCAUUCAUUCACUCACUCAAAAAUUAUUUGUGAGUUCUAUGACAUGUCCAGCACAGUACCAUGGAUACGAAUAUAUAAAAAAUCCUGACUCAUGCCCUCAAGGAGCACAGAGUCUAGUAAACCAGAGAAGUGAAACAACAUGUAUGAGGGAAAGAGUAGCACAAAAGAGGACAAUGUUUUUCUGAGGUAGAAAGAGAAGAGGGAAGUGUGCAGAAUCCCUAUGGCAAAUCAAAUAUGCUUUGUGCAGCCACCUGUUAUAACUGCAAUAGUUUCCACCUAGUAGUUAAGAAGAAACGUGUUCAGUUCAAUGUCAGCUUACAGCUAAGAGCUUUUGCUCACUUCUCAAGCUCCUCUGUGGAACUCUGGUGAGGUUUUGAACUACAGAGAGCAGCAGACAUAACUUCUGCCCCCACCAGUCAGGCCUGUGGGAGGUAGACUAUAUAUUCACCACUCCGUGAUGAGAAAAUAAUCAAAAGAGCAGCAACAUAACUCCCUUUGCUAUUUUCAAACCUCACUUGAAUGCAUAUAAUUGAUUGAUUCAAAUGUGCAUUCAGAAUCCUAGCUGUUAAUGCAGACAAUUUUAAUUUUCCAGCUUCUGCAGCAAAAGGAGAAUGGAAUGGACAGUUAGAUAGUCAUUACCAGCAACCAUCAUCACAACAACAAAAUCCUAAAAGGAAAUGCUAUGGAAAACUGAGAACUUUUAGCCUCUUCCAUCUUCAUACAUAAAGUCACAUGGUCACAUUCUGUUCUUGUCGUUGAUAGUUCCCUUAGUAGCCUUCCUCUAAAUAAGUAUUGCAUAUUGGGGAAAAGGUUUAGGAUAAGAAUAGAAAAAGAGAGGGAGAAGGAAAGAGAAAAGACUUCAUCUCACACUGGUAGUAUAUUUCUGUCUUUCCCUUAAACCUUUGAAAUUAUCUUUUAAAGUUUCAAAGACUUAAAAAUCUCAUUACUUAUGUUCUAAUGCUAUUGUUUAAUAUGUUUAGUAUGCUCUCUGUGGACAAGGAAUUGUCACCAAUCCAUUUACACAGAAAAAAAUCUUUUGGAAUUUUCAGAUGGCCCUGGUGCCAUUCUUCUAUUCAAAGUGAUUGCUUUCUCCCAUUCUGUAGGCUGCCUUUUAGUUUGUGAUUGUUUCCUUCACCAUGCAGAAGCUUGUUUUUUUAAUGUGUAUUUAUUAAACAGUGAGUGAGUGAGUGGGGGAAGGGUAGAGAGAGAGGAAGACAGAGGAUCUCAAGUGGCUCCAUGCUGACAGCAGAGAGCUGGAUGCAGGCUCGAACCCAUGAACCACGAGAUCAUGACCCAAGCCCAAGUCAAACACUUAACCAACUGAGCCACUCAGGUGCCCCAAGAAGCUUUUUAUCUUAAUGAAGUCCCAAUAGCUCAUUUUUGCUUUUGUUUGCCUUGCCUCCAGCAAUAGCCUAGUAAGAAGUGGCUCUGACCAAGAUCAAGGAAGUAGCUGCCUGUGUUCUCCUCCAGAAUUUUGAUAGUUUCUGAUCUUACAUUUAGGUUUUUCAUCCAUUUUGAAUUUAUUUUUGUAUAUGGUGCAAGAAAGUUAUCCAGUUUUAUUUUUCUUCAUGUUGCUAUACAGUUUUCCCAACAUUAUUUGUUGAAGAGACUGUCAUUUUGGCAUUCAAUAUUCUUUCCUGCUUUGUCGAAGGGGAGUUGACCAUACAGUUGUGGGUCCAUUUAUGGGAUUCCUAUUUUGUUGCACUGAUCAAUGUUUCUGUUUUUGUGACAAAACAAUACUGUCUUGAUGACUACAACUUUUUAAUAUACCUUGAAGUCCAGAAUCGGUAAUCCCUUCAAUUUUGCUUUUCUUUUUCAGGAUUCUUUGGCUAUUCAGGGUCUUUUGUGGUUCUAUACAAAUUUUAGGAUUGUUUGUUCUUCCUUUGUGAAAAGUGCUGAUGGUAUUUUGAUAGGGAUUACAAUAAAUGUGUAGAAUGCUUUGGAUUGUAUCGACAUUUUAAUAAUGUUUGUUCUCCAAUCUAUGAGCAUGAGCUUUUUUCCCAUUUCUUUGUGUCCUCUUCAAUUUUUUCAUAAGUGUUCUAUAGUUUUCAGAGUCGGAGAAGAUAUUUGCAAAUGGUAUAGCUGAUAAAGGGUUAGUAUCCAAAAUCUAUAAAGAAUUUAUCAAGCUCAAUACCUACAAAACAAAUAAUCCAGUUAAGAAAUGUGCAGAGACAUGAAUAAACAUUUUUCCAAGGAAGACAUUAAGAUGGCCAACAGAUGCAUGAAAAGAUGUUCAACAUCACCGAUAAUCAUGGAAAUAUAAAUCAAAACUAUGAUGAGAUACCACCUCACACCUGUUAAGAAUGACUAAAAUUAACAGCACAAUAUACAACAGGUGUUGACAAGGAUAUGGAGAAAGAGGAACCCUCUUACAGUGUCAGUGGUAAUGCAAACUGAUACAGCCACUCUGGAAAACAGUAUGGAGGUUCCUCAAAAAAGAUAAAAAAGAGAACUACCCUACAAUUCAGCAAUUGCACUACUAAGUAUUUGCCCAAUGAAUACAAAAAUAAAAAUUCAAAGGAGUACAUGCACCCCAGUGUUUAUAGCAGCAUUAUCAACAAUAGCUAAACUAUGGAAAGAGCCCAAAUGUCCAUCAUAUAUAUAGAUAUGAUGGAAUUUUACUCAGCCUUCAUUACUUCAUCCAAUAUUACUCCAAAAAGAAUGAAAUCUUGCCAUUUGCAAUGAUGUGGAUGGAGCUACAGUGUAUUAUGCUAAGAAAAAUAAGUCAGAGAAAGACAAAUACCAUAUGAUUUUAUCUACAUGAGGAAUCUAAGAAACAAAACACAUGAACAUAUGGGAGAAAGAAAGGGAGGCAAACCACAAGAGACUCUGAAAGAGAACAAAUUGAGGAGUGAUGGAGGGAGGGAGGUGGUGGGUGGGCUAAAUGGGUUAUGGGUAUUAAGGAGGGCACUUGUUAUGAUGAGCACUGAAUGUUAUAUGUAAGCGAUAAGUCACUAAAUUCUAUUCUUGAAACCAAUAUUACACUAUAUGUUAACUAGAAUUUAAAUAAAAAUUUGGGGGAAAAAGUGAUUGUUUCCCCAAUAUCCAUUCAUGAUAAAAACUCAUUCUCAGUAAACUAGGAAUAGUGGGGAACUUCCUUCACUUGAUAUAGAAUACCUAAAAAAAAUCCACAGAUAAUAUCAUAUUUAAUACUGAGAAACUCGAAGUGUUUCCAUGAAGACCAGGUAAAUGUCACAAAUGUACUUCCUCAUCACUCUUUUCAACAUUGUACUGGAAGUCCUUGCUAAUGCAGGAAGGAAAGAAAAGGAAAUUUAAAAAGGCAGGGCACCUGGGUGGCUCAGUCAGUUGAGAGUCCAACUUUGGCUCAGGUCAUCAUCUGACAGUUCGUGGGUUCAAGCCCCGUAUCCGGCUCUGUGCUGACAGCUCAGGGCCUGGAGCCUGUUUCAGGUUCUGUGUCUCCCUCUCUCUCUGCCCCUCCCCUGUUCAUGCUCUUUCUCUGUCUCAAGAAUAAAUAAACAUUAAAAAAAAAUUUUAAGGCAUAUAUCUUUGGGAGGAAGAUAUAAAAAUUUCUUUGUUCACAUAUGACAUGAUCAUCUACAUAGAAAAUAUGAAAUAACAAAAAAAAAUCUCUUGGCACUAAUAUGCAAUUAUAACAAGACUGCAAGGUACAAAGUUAGUAUGCAAAAGUCCAUUGCUUUCCUAUAAACCAAAAUAAACAAGUAGAAUUUGAAAUUUAAAACACAAUAUCAUUCCAUAAAAAAUGAAAUACUUAGGUAUUAACCUAACAAACUAGAAAAAAACUAAUAAAAGAAAUCAAAGAACUAAAUAAAAGGAAGAUAGUCCAUAUUCAUGGAUAGGAAGUCUCAAUACUGUAAUGAUCUCAGUUGUUUCCAGCUUGACCUAGAGAUUCAAUGCUGUGUCAAUCAAUAUCCCUGCAAGUUAUUUUAUGGAUAUUAAGAAAAAAAAACUGAUUCUAAAGUUUAUGUGGAGUCCAAGACACAAAAUAGCCUAGAAAAGAGAGAACAAAGUAGGAUGAUAGAUAGUACCUGACAUCAAGACUUACUACAGAGGCUACAGUAAUUAAGAUGUGUGGUAUUAACAAAGUAAUAGAAAGAUUAACGGAACAGAUUAGAGAGUAUAGAAAUAGACCCACACAAAUAUAGUCAACAUAUCUCUGACAAAGAAGCAAAGUCAAUAGAGUGAAGUACAGAUAGUGUCUUCAAUGAAUGGUGCUGGAAACAGUAGACAUCUACAUGAAAAAAAAAAAAAAGUGAAUUUAGACCCAGACCUACACUCUUCACAAAAAUUAACUCAAAAGAUAUUGAAUCCAAAUGUUAAAACAAAAUUAUAAACCUCCUAGAAGAUAAUAUAGGAGAAGCAUAUGUGAUUUUGGAUAUAUUUAUGCUUUUUUAGACAUAACAUCAAAGACAUGAUCCAUGAAAGAAAAAAAUUGAUAAGUUGGACUUCAUUAAUACUAAAAACUUAUGUUCUGUGAAAAAAACAAUGUCAAGAGAAUUAGAAGAUAAACCACAGAUUGGGAGAAAAUAUUUCAAAAGAAAUCUCUUAUAAAGGACCAUUAUCCAGAAUAAACAACUUUUUUUUUAAUUUUUUUAAAUGUUUAUUUAUCUUUGAGAUAGAGAGACAGAGGGAGACAGAGACAGAGUGCAAUCAGGGUAGGGGCAGAGAGAGGGAGACAGAAUCCGAAGCAGGUUCCAGGCUCUCAGCUGUCAGCACAGAGCCCGACGUGGGGCUCAAACUCAUGAACCACGAGAUCAACUUGAGCUAAAGUCGGACGCUUAACAGACUGAGCCACCCAGGAGUCCCUAAACAAAGAAUUCUUAAAACUCAACUAUAAAAAACAGAAAGUCCAUUUAAAAAAAUAGGCCACAGAACUUAACAGACACCUCACUAAAGAAGAUCUAUAGAUGAGGAAAAAAAGCGUAUAUCAAAAAGUGCCCAUAUCUUUGUCAUUAAAACAACAAUUAGAUACCAGUAGGUACCGAAUCAGAAUGGCCAGAACCUGGAACACUGACAACACCCAAUCCUGGUAGGGUAUGGAGCAAUAGGAACUCUCAUUCAUUGCUGGUGGGAACACAAAAUGAUUCAGCCACUUUGGGAAAUAGUUUGGCAGUUUUCUAUAAAACUAAACAUAUCCUUAUCAUGGUACCCAGUAAGAAUGCUUCUUGGUAUUUACUCAAAGGAGUUGAAAAUCUAUGUCUACACAAAAACCUGCACAUGAAUAUUUACAGCAGCUUUAUUUAUGAUUGUCAAAACUUGGAAGCAACCAAGUUGUCCCUCAGUAGGUGAAUGGAUAAGUAAACUUUGGUGUUUUCAGAGGAUAGAAUAUUAUUUAUCAACACUAAAAAGUGAGUUAUCAAGCCACGAAAAAAACUUGGAAGAAACUAAAAUACCUAUUACUCAGUGCCAGAAGCCAAACCAAAAAUAGUGUGUACUAUAGGAUUCCAACUAUAUGACAUUCUAGAAAAGGCAAAACUUUGGUGAUAAUGAAAAGAUUUGCUAGGAGUGAAGGGAUGAGGGAGGGAUGAAUAGGCAGAGCACAUAAGAGUUUUAAGGGAGUGAAAAUAUCCUGUAUGAUGUCAUAAUGAUGAAUAUAUGUCAUUAUGCAUUUGUCUAAAUCCAAGAGUGAACCCUAAGGUAAACUAUGGACUUUGGGUACCUCUGAUGUAUCAGUGUAGAUUCAUCCUUGGUAACAAACGUACUACACUGGUGGUGAAGGAGAAUGCACAUGUGAGGACAGGGAGUAUGUGGGAUAUCUCCACACCUUCUCAAUUUUGCUGGAAUUUACAACGGCUCUAAAAAUAUUAAAUAUUGUUUUACAAAGUUAUUGUUCUCAAGGUACAUGAUAACAUCUACAAAGGGAGUCCAGUCUGCUUAGAUCAAGGAAGCUGGAGAAUGUUGACUGGGAGUGGGCUUAUGGAGAAGUCAGGCACUUCAAGUAAAAGGUAUUUAAUAACCAUUAGUCAAAUGAAGGGGUACUAAAUCUGAGUUUGUGCUAUACUGUGAGGGGGUAAGUGUCUAUAUUUCUUCUAGAACUUAGUAUAUGUGCCCUUGUCUAGUUAUUUCUCAGCUCCUAAUGUGGUGCCUAGUAUAUGAUUAGUAUUUAAUUAAAAUGAGCUAAGUAAAAUAAUGUCUAUGGAAAUGGCCAUUGACAUCGGGAGCCUAUUUAUUGUACUAGUUGUGGAAACAGAAAUGAGAUCCUGCAUUGGAAUUUAAGGAUGGAAUAAUAAACUCUUCACAGAGUGUUAUGACCAAUUCUCUAUUUCAGUGUCCUAGUGCCUGCCACCCUGAAGAUAAUGCACAGUGAUCACUAACUCAGGAAAAUUAUUGCAUAAAUAAAUAAAUAAAUAAAUAAAUAAAUAACAGAACAAAGCAACUGACAAAAAAGCCCAACAACUAAAACUUAACUAUUCAUGGAGAUGUGAAAAAUGACCAAGAAUCGGAAGUAGUUAUUUUAAAUUAUGAAUUUAAUACAAUUUAUGAUAUCAUAUAAAAAUGAAUUAACCUGGCUUUUUUUAAAAAUCUUUUUAAAUGCUUAUUUAUUUUUGAGAGAGAGAGAGAGAGAGAGCGCAAGGGGGAGGGGCAGAGAGAGAGGGAAACACAGAAUAUGAAGCAGGCUCCAGGCUCUGAACUGUCAGCACAGAGCCUGACACAGGGCUUGAACCCAAGAACUGUGAGAUCAUGACUGGAGCUGAAGUCCUAUGCUCAACUGACUGAGCCACCCAGGCACCCCAACCUGGCUUUUAAGAUCAAAAUGUAAUAUAUUAAUUUAUACCUCAUAAUCAGUAACAAUGGAGGAGUGAUACAAAUUAAAAGGUAAAAAUUAAAGGAAUAUAUCCCUCUAGAAAAUUGAAAAAUAUCAGUUACUUUGAUCCUCUGCAAUCAGAAUGGACAAAACAUUGGAAAACACAUUGCAAAAAAUACUCUCCGCCUGACUUACGUCAGUCUCUUUUAUCUUCCCUCUAGCUGACUCAGUAAUUAAUAGAUACUAUCUCUGUCUAUAUUGGGCAUUGUUGACAUCAUUUUUUUUUCAGCUAAGUUUUUUUUUCUUUUAAUGAGCAUUAACAAAUAAUCUAUUCUAAUAUCAUUUUCCAAAUUCAUUGGAAAUAAUCAUAAAAUUAUGGGUACCUGGGUGGCUCAGUCGGUUAGGCAUCAGACAUCAGCUCAGGUCAUGAUCUGGUGGUUUGUGAGUUCGAGCCCCGCAUCAGGCCCUAUGCUGGAAGCUCAGAGCCUGGACCCUGCUUCAGAUUCUGUGUCUCCCCCUUCUCUGCCCCUCCCAUGCUGAUGCUCUGUAUCUCUUUGUCUCCUAAUAAUACAUAAAUGUAAAAAAUUAAGAAAAAAGAAAUCAUAAAAUUAAAAGCAGAAUUCAUAUUUACUAAUAAAAAAUGUGAGGGAAGAAACAUCAGUAUAUUGCAUGAAAGAUUUUAUAAAUAAGUCGAGCAUGAAAUGAAAACAAUGAUGGAGCUGACAAUGUCAUUUUAGAAAAAGUAGCGGAUGACCUAUCUGGCUCUGAAACACCAACACAAAAUGCAUUUUUACUUAUCUUAUAAUACUUCAGGGUUUCCCUAUAAAAGAUAAGAUUGAAGUGAAUGGAAUUUUUGAAAAUCUAAAUUCCUUAUGUCCUUGAGUUUUCUUUCUCUUUUUAAAAUUAUUUAUUUGCUUUGAGAGAGAGAGAGAGAGAGCGCGCACACAUGCUUGCACAGGCACGCAAGUUGGGCAGGGGCAGAGAGAGACUCCCAAGCAGGUUCCACCCCUUCAGCACAGAGUCUUUUGCAGGGCUUCUCGAUCAUAUGUACCUAUUUUAAGAGAGGAGAUAGGACUUUCACUGAUUAUUAAAUAUGUCUGCAUUAGGAUCUUCCAAAGAAACAGAUCCAAUAGGUUAUUUAUUAUAUGUUAUUUUGAAAUAUAUUUAUUACACAUUAUUUUAUUUAUAUUUAUAAAGUGAUGUAUUAUGAGGAACUGAUUUAUGUGAUUAUGGAGGCUAUGAAGUCCGACAGCCUCCCAUCUGCAAGCUGGAGACCCAGGAAAGCCAAUGAUAUACAUCAGUUCAUGUCCAGAAGCCUGAGAAGUAGAAGGCAAUGGUUUCAGUUCAAAGGCAGGAGGAAACUGAUGCCCAACUCAAAUUGGCAGCAAGAAAGAAUUCGGCCUUCCUCUGCCUUUUUGUUCUGUUCAGGCCUUAAAUGGAUGGGAUGAUGUCCAUUCACACUGAGGAGAAUCCACUAAUUCAAAGGCUAAUCUCUUCCAGAAACACUCCCACAGACCCACUCAAAAAUAAUGCUUAACCAGUCAAGUUGACACACAAAAUUAACCAUCACAAUAUCUAUGACCAACAAAACACUAAAGACCAUUGAAAACUCAUUCAACUGUACUUAUUUUGCUAAAGACUCGCUAAAGACUGAGUCAUUUGAUCUAUCUUCUUUUAAUGAGCAAAAAUCUUACAGUAAAUCUAAUUUCUCUCUGAUUCAAUGUCAUUUUCAUUUGCAGCCUAAAUUUCAGUUUUUGUCUUUAGUCAUUGGCUCUUUGCCUCUUUUUUCCCCCUCUGAGAGAAAGCAAGAGAACAAGGGGGGAGGGGCAGAAGAAGAGAGAAAAAAAAUCUUAAGUGGGCUCUAAGCUCAGCUCAGAGCCUGACACAGGGCUCAGUCCAUGGCCUGAGCUGAAAUCAAGAGAUCAUGAUCUGAGCAGAAAUCAAGAGUUGGAUGCUUAAUCUAUCAAUCCACCCAGGCACCCCGAGUCAUUGCCUCUUCUGUUUAUGCGUGUUCUUUCUUACAAUUUCAUCUUCUUUUUGGCUUUAGUUACCGUUUGUGUACUGUUGAAUGUUUUCUCUUUAUCUCAAUCUCUGAUCCUCCUCCCGUGCUAUAACAACCGAAGUGUAGCUUUGGUAUAUCUUUAUUGCAUGUUUCACAUUUCUUUAGUGUGUGUUUCUAAAUGAACUGAUUAACAUUCACCCACUCAAAAUCUAUUGUGAGAUUUUCAUUUCCUGUAACAAUCAAUGUCAUCAUCCAUCCAGUUUCUCAAGGUCUUCAUUAAAUCACACCUAUUGUAGCUUCUCCUUCUUUUAGGGUACAAAAUUUCUUUAAUUUUGUUGAAUAAAUGUCUCUUGGAUCUUCUCUUCUUUCACACCAUUAUAUCUAAAUUUAAGCUCUUGUCAAGACUUAAUGAGUAAUGGCAACUUCCUCCUGAAUCCUCUUUCUCCUAAAUCCAUUCAAUUUCUCUUCUAGUGUCACCAAAAUAAAUUACUCAAAAAAACAAUAUUUUUGGUUAAACAUGCUUUCUUGUGUUUUCAACUCCUAGCACUUACUUUAGAGGCCACUUCUGGGCAAUAGACUUGAAAAAUGGAAACCUGAGUAAGGUGGAAGUGCCCACAGUGACCCCAAAUCCCUGGCUGAAUACAAACAGGCUCAUGAACUGACUCACCUUGAAAUAACCAUAAGCCCUAAGUAACCAAUGUGCUACCAAUUUUUUUAAUUAUUAAUUAAUUAAUUAAUUAUUUAUGUUGAGAGAGAGAGAGAGAGAGAGAGAGAGAAAGCAUGAGUGGGGAAAGGACAGAGAGAGAGGAGAGAGAGAAUCCCAAGCAGGCCCCACACUGCCAGCACAGAGGCCAAUGUGGGGUUCAAUCCCAUGAAAUCAUGAGACCAUGACCUGAGCUGAAAUCAAGAGUUGACACUCAACCAACUGAGCCAUCCAGGCACUGCCCAAUGGGCUACUUAAAACCAGCCACAGUUACCAAAAAAGGGAAAAGUCCAUAAGUCCCCCUACUUCCUCACCUUUCCAAUUUAAAUAUACCCUCCCAAAUAAAUAAAUAAAUAAAUAAAUAAAUAAAUAAAUAAAUAAUAAAUCCAUCCCCACCCACUGGUUUGUGGCAGACGGUUCUCUCCUUUGAUGUCCUGCCCACUGCUCCCUUGUGGUGUAUUCAAUAAACUUCUUUCUCCUUUGUUCUGCCUUGGGUGAAUUGUUUCACCAGUUGUGCCACCAGCUUCCACAGAUUCAGGUCACCUCACAUUUUGGAACUCCCGUGUGAUCAAAGAGACCCACCCUUCCCACACAGCACUACAUUUUUUUUUUUUUUUGGCAUUCUUGCUUCCCUCAUUACAUAGUAAUGCUGGAUGUCUCACCCACCUUUCCAGUGACUCCCCUAGUCCAGAGCAUGUAAGGAACAAAUAAAACUAUAGCCAAGAUGGCUGGCUAUCUGUCUACAAAACGUGUGCUUCCCCUUCCAUAGUGUUGAGUUUGGGGACACAUCGGCACAGCUGUGGACUACAUUUCCAAACUCCCUUAUAGUGCGUGUGACUAAUUCCCAACAGUGAAAUUUAGGAGAAGUGAUAUAUUGCUUCUAGACCAUGACUUUUAACAAUUUGGUAGAUGUUACUCUCAUUUUUAUCUUUCACUAGAUGAAUUCGGAAAAUUCCAAGGCCUUGUAGAAAAAAACAAAAAAAAAAAAGCCAAAGAUUGAAAAACUCUAAGAACCUGAAAACAUACAUUAGAGGGGAGGUUUUGCCCUGCCAGAAGGACAUUCACUGGGGAACAUGAGUGAGAAUACAUUUCUAUUAUAUUAAGACAUAUUUGUUUAAAGUGUUAUGGCUGCUAAUUAUUCCAAUAUAACUAGAUUCCAGUAUAACUAAUUAUUCCAAUAUAACUUAGUAUUCCAAUACUUAAGUAUUUUGAAAUAAAUGUUUAUAAUAUACCUACAGGUUAUACAUUUGCACAAAUGGGUGAAGGCAGCAAAAGAGAAAAGCAUUCCUCCUUGCAUUUCCUAAAAUGUGAUUACAGUAUAAUGAUCUGCCAUUCAAAAUAUACCUCUUCCUUCCAAUAUAGAGGGAAAAAAACCAGAAUAUUAUUCAGAACAUAUCAUAAAAUUUGCGUCUUUAUAAAAUUUCUCCAUUUUAAUAGGAUUUUACUUUUAACACACAAUUGAAAAGGACCAUUUUGUUCAAGAAAUUUAAGAAAAAGAACAAUACAAAUAAUUAAAGAAAAUCCAGACCACACUGACAACUAAUUAGGGCAAUGAAAGCAUUUGGAUAAGAGCCCAGUUAAAACUAUCCAAGAAAAAUAGAUUAAGCUAUUUGAAUAACCACAUUAUACACAUUGUUUCUUCAUAUAAACUGUGUGAGUAUCUUGAGAUUGCUUAUUUUGCCCAGUUUGUAUGUAAUGGUUUUUCCCAUAUUUGCAUUGUCAGUCAUUUUGGUAGAAUUGAAUUAAGUGGGAAAAGAAAAUUUAAUCAAGAACUUUCCCCUCCAGCACCCUAUCCUUCCUGUUAUACAUUAGAAAUUUGUGAAAUGAGAUAUAUAUAUAUAUAUAUAUAUAUGUGUGUGUGUGUGUGUAUAUAUAUGUACAUAUAUAUAUAUAUACACACACACAUAUAUACACACACAUAUAUACACACAUAUAUAUACAUAUAUACACACACAUACACACACACAUAUAUAUAUAUGUACAUAUAUAUACAUAUAUAUGUAUAUGUAUGUGAGGUGAUGAAUGCAUAAUAUAGAGACCUAUUUAGACUUGAAUUUUAUGUAGAUAUAUGCAUCAGGUCUUUUUGAGUAUAAUACAAUACAUGUUCAGAGUACAAUAAUUACUAAUUUUUAUUGAUCUUACUAUCUGCAAAAGUCUGAAGUCCACUUGGUUCUUGCUACUCAAAGUUUGAGCCAUGGACCAAUUAAACCAACAUCACCCAGAGCUUGUUGGAAAUGCAGAACUUCAAGUCUCACCUUAGCUGAUUUAGUUGAUUUGCAUAUAUGUUAAAAUUUGACAAUCCCUUCUCUAGGUAAAAAAGAGGAAAUAAAUAAUGUGUUAAUGACAGCCUUAAAGGGAUGCACUACUCUGACAAUUUUUUUAUUCCAGUUUAAAUAACAUAUUUCCUGAAAUUAGGACUUUUGUGAGUAACAUUAUCUAGACUAAAUCAGUUGCCUCUUUAGCCUUUGAGUACUAGCAUUAAGCUUUAGAGAAAGAGGCAAGAUCUUCUUAUACAGGCUUUGUUAUCAGUUAAGAUGCUUCCAGCUAAAAAUAAUGAAAAAAAAUUCAUCUCCACUAUUCUUAGGUAGGAAGAAAUCCUUGGGAUCACAGGUUAGGGCGGCCCUCAAAAACGACUGAGUCCAACAGCUCUGGUUUCUUUUGUUGGCAUUUCCCUUGGCUUUACCUUCUUUUCUAUGGAGCUUCAUUUGGAAGCUACCAAAAGACAGCAGAAAAAGUGACAGGUCUUGUAUGUGGCAAAGUGAUUCCAGAUGAAUAGAGACUAUCUUUCCUUGUGACUAACACUUAAGAAAAAGAAUUUUUUUUUCAGGUUUCCCACAAAUAUCUCUUUGCUUUUCAUUGUUUCAUUAGGACAUCAUGCCCUUGCAAAAUCAGUCCUUGUAAUCUCCAGGAAUGUGAUUCAUUCAUUGACUUUGACCAGAAUUCUUGAAAUAAUGAUUGUCAAGGGCUUGAAAGUACCUUCAUUGACCUACAGUCUUGGAUCAAUUCCUUCAACUGUUCUCAAGUACCUAUUCAAUAAGGGGGAGGGGUGAAAGUUGAAAAGCGAAUCAUAGUGUUUACCAAAUUCUACAUUUCUUUUAUGAGACUCUCAUAAUUGUGCCUCUCUCUUCUCAUUACCAUCUCUCUGAUCAUAUUGUCACAUGACCUUCUGACACUUGAAUAAAACUAGUUGCUUAAACAUGACACUUGUUCUACUGUACAGUUUUCAUUAUGCCAAAGCUUUCCCCUGGCUCUUUGAGGGAUGAAUCUUUUUUUUUUUCUUUUUUUAAUGUAAUUGUUUUGUUUUGUUUUUCCUACCAUAAUUCCCGCUUCAAGGAUUCACUAAGGCCACCCAACCAAGCAUAACCUCCAUGCCCAGGAAUUUCUUUCAUCUGUAUUUCCCAUUGCAGAAACAUGCUCUAAUAGAGUGGAGCCAGCUCUUCAGGAAGCUGAGACCAAUGUUUACUGUGCAUGACUAAGUGAGAGGAAAUCCUGUUGCCUUUUGGAUGACUAGCUUGAAUGUGUUCCCCUUAGUUACUGAAAGAUACUAAACAACAUAAAACCAUAUCAACUCUUUCAGGUAUGAUUCUAUGGCACACAAAAGCACAGGUCCAGAGAGAUACAGGACAGGAUUUGUCUGUAUCUCAAACACAUUUGAAAUGUCAAACACAUUCCAGUCUCAAGAAAAGUUCAAGUUAGUGUACCAGGGCUGCAGUGGCAAUUUUUACUCUUCCUCUCUGUUAGCAAACCAGGCUCUUUUUGCUUGCUUAAGUCUCUGACAUAUAUAUAUAUAUUUUUCCAAAUAUAUUCCAAAUAUAUUUGUUGAAUAAAGGAACUCUAAUCUUUUUUUUUUAAAGGAACUCUAAUCUUGAGUAAACUGGCUGAGAGUUCCAUAUUUUUAAAAAUGGUCCAUGAAUUUUGCCUUAUUAAUUAUGAUCAUUGCUUGAUACUCCAAACAAUGAUUAGAAGAGAGUAGUAGCAGAAUGAAAAAUCUUUGUAUGUGUCUCUCUACUUGGCUUUAGAAUUAUUUUUUCUCUUUUAUUUUAAGACUUGGAAUUAAUCAUAAGAUAGAUGAGCAAAGCCUAAACAAUAAAUGGGCAUAUUAAAUUUUUAAAUGUUCAUUAAUUUAUUUUUGAGAGAUAGAGAGUGUGAGUGGGGGAGGGGCAGAGAGAGAGGGGGGGGGGGAAGAGAAUCCAAAACAGGCUCCGCACUGUCAGGGCAGAGCCUGACAUGGGGCUCGAAGUCACGAACUAUGAGAUCAUGACCUAAGCCGAAGUCGGACACUUAACUGAGCCACCCAGGCAACCCAAACGAACAUAUUAAUUUUAAAAGAGUUUAAGCAAGCCAAUUUUCAUUGAAAUUUGCCUGACAUGAGUCAAUGGUAACUGCUUAUAAGUGAAGAAAUAAUAUACAUCAUAUAUGUGCCCUUCAUGGUUGAUAUACAUAAAUGAAUUCUCAAAUGAAUUAAGGAUAUCCACAGUAUUUUGGAAUAUCUGGAAAAAUUUUCCCCUUUAGGAUCUGAUCAUUUCCUCCAUCUCUUCAGAUGCUAUUCAUUUUUCACUCCUCAUUCCAUACAGUCUUCCGGUGAGACUUCCCAACUGGACAAGUCCAUAGAAUUUUUUUUUCCAUUUUUUAUACAUUAAUAACCCUUACAGACUAGAUAUUAGUCUCUAAUAGUUUUGUGGUUAUCAAUCUUCUUUUGCCAAUAUAAUUCAAAUUUCUCAAGACCACAGUAAAAUCAGCAUACUUAUACCCUACACAGGAUGGAACAUAACAUAAGCCCUUGAUGAAAACUAAUUGACUGAAAAAAAUCACCAAAAGUCCAUUUCCUUUCCUUCAUUUCCAAACUAAAUGUGACAUUUACAAAGAAUAUGGUAAAAAUCGUUGUGGCUUAAAAUUAUUUGUUCCACCUUAAAACCACCUCCAUAUAUUUCUAGCAUGACUCUUCUCAUUGUUGAUUCAAUGAUGCACAGAUGGUGAAUCCUCUCUCCAUGUCUUGUGCCUUGCUAUGAUUAUCCUGCUUUCUCCGGUGCCCAAUCCACCAGCAAAUGACAACAAUAAUACCUUAACACUUCUAACAACUGUAUUCUUUUUUCCAAUGCUAUCUUUUUUUUUAAUUUUCUUUUUUUUAAUGUUCAUUUAUUUUUGGGACAGAGAGAGACAGAGCAUGAACAGGGGAGGGGCAGAGAGAGAGGGAGAAACAGAAUCUGAAACAGUCUCCAGGCUCUGAGCUGUCAGCACAAGCCCGAUGCCGGGCCCGAACUCACGGACCGUGAGAUCAUGACCUGAGCCGAAGUCGGAUGCUUAACCGACCAAGCCACCCAGACGCCCCACCAAUGCUAUCUUUGUACAAACACCUCUAAUAUUUGCCUAGCAAAGAGUGAACAUAUUAAGAAUAAGUUCAAUAAAGUAUAUUUUAAAAUAUAAAAAUACAGGAGCACCUGGGUGGCUCGGUUGGUUAAGCAUCUAACUCUUGAUUUUGACUUAGAUCAUGAUCUCAAGAUUGGUGGGAUCUAGCCCUGCUUCAGUCUCUGCACUGACAAAGCAGAGCCUGCUUGGGAUUCUAUCACUCCCUCUCUCUCUGCCCCUUCCUAACUCACGUGCACACUCUCUCUCUCACAAAAUAAAGAAGCAUUUUUUUUAACUUAAAAAAAUAUUUAUAUAAAUACAAAUAGAACCCUAUUAUAACAUAUCUCAUUACUAGGUUCAGAUCAUAUUGCAAACAACAUCCCUGGAAACAGCAAAAUCAUGGAGAAUAAAAUUAUUAAAGACAGGAAUUUGCACUGUAAAUUGCCUAUUUCAUAAAAGAUAGUAAAGUUUUCAGAAUAAUGUAACACUGGGGUUACCAAAGCCUUGAUCUAGAAGACAUUAGUAAGAGUGUCUUGAAAAUGUGAUAUUCACAUAAGACUGGGACAUGUUGAACUUAAAUCCCUCUCCCGUGAAUUUAUUUGGGGUUGAAGGCUCUAAAGUACAUGGGAAAAGGAAACUCCUUUGAAUAUGUUGCAACUAUAGAAUAAAGUUUCAAAUCUAUUCAAGCACAAAGGAAUAUUUAUAUGGAAAACCUAUUAACUAGUAGAGGUGUUUUGAGGGACAUUGGGGAAAUGCUGAGGUAGUUAAAAUGGAUUUGUACUGGAAAUCAAGAAAGCUAAUUUCUAGUCUUAGACAGGUAGCUCCAGGGCUUAGGGAAUCACACAAUUACUGCAAAGCAGACACGUGCAUUCUGUUCCAAUUAAAAUAGAUCUUUAAAUGCAUUUCAUCCAUGAAUUAAAAAAUAUAGUACUGAUAUUUCUCUUUGGAUUCUCUGAGUUUCAAUAAGAGCAACCCCAAUUCAAAUACAUGUCCUAAGGCUUAAGGUUACACAAUGGUGUAACCGGUCCAGGCCACACUUUUUUUUUUUCCCUUGUCUCUACUGGGUGUCCUACUUUUACUUCAAUGGGUAGAAUUCCCCUCAUUGUCUCAAAAUGCUUUCUCCAGCUACUUGGCUGCAUUCAUCUGUAUUCUGCAAAUGUGGGAGAGUAUUUUUUCCCCAAAUUUUCAGCAAAUUCUGAGCUUUACUCCAAUUAGACUCAGCGUUAUAUACUCCAUGAACUAAUCACAUUGGCCAGAUUUUGAAAUGCACCAAUAGGGUUUAUCCUAGGUCAUGGGCUCCUACCCCUGCAAGCAGGAAGGGGCUUAGUUUCUCUCAAGCUACAAGGAUCUCUAGUGGCAAAUGGGGAUCUCGAAAAAUACAAAAUAAGACAUCGGCAUGCAUUCAGCAACAAAAACUAUCCUUUUCAUUAGAGAAGAAUGCAGAAAGGAUCAAAAUUAUAAAUUUAUAAAAUGAUAAAAGCUUAAAAAGAGAAGAGUGUAAAUGAAAAUAAGUGAUCUGAGCUGAAUCUUUAAAAAUACACGUUAUGUGAAUAAUAGACAUUGUUAUCUAAGCAUAUCUUUUUAAAAUGUAAUCCUCACUUUGUUAGUGAAUCAAACCAUUCUUUUAUAGCAAACUAAUCUGUGUUUUCGGUAAGACAUACAAAUGCCUACAGAAACUGGACAGUUGCUGAUUUUCAUCGAAAAUUUAAUUAGGAACACAAUUUCAGAGAGUGAAUGACACAAAAACCAAAUGAGAUGACAAGUUUUCCGCAACUUUUUUUCACAUGCUUAAGAAAAUACACUUUUGAUUUUACCAAUGAAAUUUUAGUGCAUUUACUCAGAUUUUGAAAACCCAUUGUUUAUAUUAUGUUAUAUUAAUUAUAUUAAUUAUAUUAAUUAUAUAUAUUAUAUUAUAUUAUAUUAAUUGUAUUAUAUUAGAUGUACAAACUUCUGAAAUGAGAAAUGUUAGCUCUUAACAGUGAUGGACUAAAUUUUAAUAAGUAGGAAAUUUUUAGCUUUGAAUUCAAAGAGCCCAAAACAUUUGUGUAUUCAUUGGUACUAUAUCGAAAACAACAAAGAAUGUUUAAGUCAUACAUUAUGUGUUCUUUAAGACAAAACAAAAAUGAUAAAGAAUGCUUACUGACAUAAUUUGUUAUACUUGCAUGAAGAGGUCAACAUGAGAUUCAGCACAUUAUGAACUGCUCUGGUAAUACAUAUCUCUAAAACCCAGAAAAGACCGUGUCCUACCCCUUGGCUUAUGAGCAAGGUACAAGCCUAGAGAUAGUCCCAUGUUGGGUUUGGUAGGUCUGGUUUAAACCCUGUAUGUUUUUGUUUUUGUUUUUGUUUCUUGUUUUAAAGCACCCUAGGAAACUUCUACAAGCGCCUGCAGCUUGUAGCCAUCCCUGAUGGAGGUACCGGCAAGGUGAUGCCGACAGUGGGUGAGACCCACCACCUCCCUCCCUGUGUGCGAGGCUCCCAGCACCCUGGUUCUCUAAGGACACGCAGUCCUUCUUCACCCCUGGGCAGUGAGCUCCUCUUUAUGGAAGAAGGUGCAGCACCUACAGGUUAUCUCAGCACUGCUUUCUUUGAGCACUCCUCAUUCUGGGCUCCAGAGAAAGUGUCACCAGCCCAGCCCUGACAAUUUUUGACAAGUAAGCCACAGUGACUCAAGAGGAAGAGUCUGACAGGGUCACUCAUGAAUGUCCUUCAGGAGAGGGAGUGUUCUGGCAGCUGGCUCUGCUGCUUCCUUGCUAGUUCCCUGGGGGGCCAGGUGUUCCCCUCAGCCUCAGCCCCGAGGUCACCAUCUGAACACAAGGGACUGAAGUGUGACCACAAACCACCUCACUUCUCCCCCUGGGUUAGAUCUCACAGAUGUGGCAAAAAGAAGGCCUUCAGCUGGGCCUGGACCACAGGCCUGAUAAGCUGUGCAGGUCUGGUCACUGGAGAGUCCUCCGCUCUCCCUCACCUGCGGCCACUUUUGUUUUCAUCCUCUCCCCACCCUCCCUAUCCUUGCAGAAUCAGGCUUUACAAAAUAGCUAAGAUUCUGGGGCACCUGGUGCCUCAGUCCAUUAAGCAUCCGACUCUUGAUUUCAGAUCAGGUCAUGAUCUCAGGAUUGGUGAGAUCAAGCCCCACAUUAGGCUCUGUACUGGCAGUGCAGAGCCUGCUUGGGAUUCUCUCUGUGCCUCUCUCCCUGCCCCUCCCUGACUUGCUCUCUCUCUCUCUUUCUCUCCCUCAAAAUAAAGAAACUGUAAAAAGCAUUAAAAAAAAAAAAACAGCUAACUCCUUCACUUCAAAGGUAAACACUCCAUCUUUGACAAAGACAAUGAGUGUUAGUGUCGAUCUUAAGUAAAGUGCUGUGCACAUUUGGCAUUGAGCUCCCAACUUGCAAUCAGAACAGGUUUGUGCCCCUCUUAUUUGGAAAUUAUCAAGUUACCACUGCAUCACAUCUUAUACCAACACAAUGUAUUUUUUUAAAACUGUUGCUUGAGAUUUCCUUUUGUCAAUCUAGAUCCAAAGAAUACUGAGAAAUUCUUUGUUCUAAAUGAUCCAGUCCUAUUUCUUCUUUGAUCUCUGUUCUAUUCUAGUGUAAGACUCAGUCAUAUGCUGGUAAAGGCUUCUUCUGGACUGAAGCACCUUGGUAACACCUGUCAAACAGAGAACCUUUAUAUUCUGUUAACUGCAAAGGCUAUGGGCUUGUUUUCGGCUUACUGUAUUUACAGUGAUGGGGGUGAGUGUGACAUUUAACCAAACAAACAACAGUGCUGAGCACUGUGCUAAGUUUAAGUGUAACGAGCUUAGAGAAGAAAUGAGAAUGAGAUUUUUAAGGCGUGUGCACCAUGAGGUGACCAUGCUGCAAAGUGAAAUUAUGGCAAACAAUAUAAACAGUACAAAUGUUAAACUGUGCAGUAUGGGGGAGCUACAGGCUAUAACAGUCAUGGAAAGCUCUAUACGAUUAAAAAAAAAAGGCCGGCUUUAUUUAUAUCAUUAUACACACCUGCAACCUGAUGAUUUCCUUGCUAUUGUCUUUUCUUGGCCCCUCUACCUCUUAUACUUAUUCUGUAUUGUUUACAUAAUUUACAAAGUGACAGACACACAGAAGACCCUCAACUAAUGAUUAUAGCAUGAGUAUUGAAGAUGAGUAUCAGGUAUGCCCCUUAGAGGGUUAGAUGUUUUCUUAUCAACAAAAUGGUUGUGUGUUUCCUCACCUCUCCAAAAACCAAUGAGCCGGAGUGACAAUUCUCACAUCUCAUUCUGUACUCCAGGAUUGUUUGUAACAUAUUCCAUCCAUCCUUCCCCAAACUUGAGUGCAAUAUCAGUAAUAAACAUUAUAAGCACAAAUGAUUAAUUAUGCAGGUGGAAGAAACAUUAUAUGCUUAGAAAAAAUUCAGUUCAACUUAAGAUAGAAAUUCUUUCUUAAUAAAAUAACCUUUCUUCAGGGAAAUAUUUCACUAUUUGGAAGAUUCUGGUCAACAUUACAUGCAGAUCCUGCUCUACUUUGGCAUGACAAAAACAAUACAAAGAUAUUUGUUUAACAGGGAAAAAAAAGAUAUACAUGUUUUCCUAGUUGCUACGGUGAUGGAAAUGUGUCUGGAAUUCUUCUUGUGUACUAACAUGAACAUAUUUCAAUGUUACCCAGAUCGUGUGAUCCUUCGUCAUUGUGAUAAGCCCAUCCUAUUUGCACAUAUGAACAAUGUUUUUAAAAAAUGACUAAUAUAAAGCGAUGGAAAAUGAAGUAGACAAUAACACAACAGGUGAAGUAGUCAUUUAAAUUUCCCAGAAUAGUUCUCAGUGAUUUGUCCAUCAUUCACUGUUCUUUGCGGUUUAAGUAAAAUAUUACAGUAAAUAUCUUCCUCACCCCCAAAAUCAAUUUUCCUUUACAAACAUAUUUUACUGUAAAAAGAGCAAUAGUUCAUGGUGUGUGAAUAAUAAAAAAAAAAAAAUUGCUAUCAUCUCCAUGCUGCCUUCUGUUUUUCUUGUACAUAUGGAUAUGAGAAGAGUCUGCAAGCAAAUCAGAGUAGGCUAAAAUUAUCACGUAUCAUAAUUUCGUGGGAGCACUAUUUGCCUCUUAGAUUUAGAUUUCACAACAAUAAGCAGAUAUUGUAGGUGACACAGGCAUUAUCUACACCUCUUUAGCACAGUUAUGCUCUUAUUGAACUUGGUUCUUCGUGUUAUCAGGCUUUCAAAAUCUUAUUUCAUGUUUUAAUGAAUACUUCAAACUCUGGGUUUGUAAACAUUUGCUUUGUAGGAAGAAAAUGGCUUUUAGUUUCUCCUUUUUUUUUUUUUUUUAAUUUUUUUUUUCAACGUUUAUUUAUUUUUGGGACAGAGAGAGACAGAGCGUGAACGGGGGAGGGGCAGAGAGAGAGGGAGACACAGAAUCGGAAACAGGCUCCAGGCUCUGAGCCAUCAGCCCAGAGCCUGACGCGGGGCUCGAACNNNNNNNNNNNNNNNNNNNNNNNNNNNNNNNNNNNNNNNNNNNNNNNNNNNNNNNNNNNNNNNNNNNNNNNNNNNNNNNNNNNNNNNNNNNNNNNNNNNNNNNNNNNNNNNNNNNNNNNNNNNNNNNNNNNNNNNNNNNNNNNNNNNNNNNNNNNNNNNNNNNNNNNNNNNNNNNNNNNNNNNNNNNNNNNNNNNNNNNNNNNNNNNNNNNNNNNNNNNNNNNNNNNNNNNNNNNNNNNNNNNNNNNNNNNNNNNNNNNNNNNNNNNNNNNNNNNNNNNNNNNNNNNNNNNNNNNNNNNNNNNNNNNNNNNNNNNNNNNNNNNNNNNNNNNNNNNNNNNNNNNNNNNNNNNNNNNNNNNNNNNNNNNNNNNNNNNNNNNNNNNNNNNNNNNNNNNNNNNNNNNNNNNNNNNNNNNNNNNNNNNNNNNNNNNNNNNNNNNNNNNNNNNNNNNNNNNNNNNNNNNNNNNNNNNNNNNNNNNNNNNNNNNNNNNNNNNNNNNNNNNNNNNNNNNNNNNNNNNNNNNNNNNNNNNNNNNNNNNNNNNNNNNNNNNNNNNNNNNNNNNNNNNNNNNNNNNNNNNNNNNNNNNNNNNNNNNNNNNNNNNNNNNNNNNNNNNNNNNNNNNNNNNNNNNNNNNNNNNNNNNNNNNNNNNNNNNNNNNNNNNNNNNNNNNNNNNNNNNNNNNNNNNNUAUAUGUAUAUAUAUAUAUAUAUAUACAUAUAGUAUUAGAAAAAACACUUUUUUAAAGUUUAUUUAUGAGAGGGAAAUAAAGUUUAUUUUGAGAGGGGGGAAAUGGGUAGGGAGAGGGAGCGAGGCAGAAUCCCAAGCAGGCUCCAUGCUAUCAGUGCAGAGCCUGAUGCAGGGGUCCAUCAUCGAGAUAGAUCAUGCAUGACCUGAGCCAAAAUCAAGAGCUGAAUGUUUAACCAACUGAGCCACCCAGGUGCCCCAAAAGAACACUUUGUUUUACAGAUUUGGCUGAGGUGUUCCAUUGGGUGGUUAAAAGUUUAGACAGAAGUUAGUCAUCAGUGACCAAGUUUCUUGCAGAUUUUGAUUCUACUAUGUCUACCUUUAUGCAGAAAGUUUUGUAAAUUUUAACCCCAACUAUUAAAAUAGAAAUCUAGAAACUUCCUAGGACAAACAUAAAGUCUGCAAGUAAUUUCAUAUUCUAUAUUUUAUAUGGAAACUCAAUUACCACCAGAAAUAUGGUGGCAAAGAUGUUGUUACUAUCCCCAUUUCACAUGUAAGAACACUGAAACUCAGAGAAAAACCAGACCAAUCCACAACACUACUAACUUGGAGGUCUGGGAAACAAUCUGAAGUGUUUUUGUUUUUUUUUUUAUUUCAAGUUUUCAACCAUUUUCCCUCCAACAAUAGGCCUUUGCAGAAGCCAAUUUACUUGUGUAAUAUGCUUUUCUUACAACACGUUAAAUCUCAAUUUAAUAUUGAACUCAAUUGGUUCAUCACUUUAUUUAACACAAUGUUAGUGUCUAUGAAUAUGUGCUACAUUAUAUCCACAUUCUACAAAACACAUGCACAGGGAAUAAUUAAUUAAUGAAGGAAACUUUUAAAUAUAAGUACAACUGCAAAAACACUUUUAAGUGUUGGAGUCUUGCUUACAGGCCAUGAGGGUCUUUAGUCAUUAAGAUAUUGAGUGUCAUACUAAUACUUUUAUAUGAAAACAUCCUUAGACAUAACCCAAUAAAAAUCAGGCAGGCUUUCUCUGAUCUCUUCAGUCUUUAAUGAUGCAUUUCUGCUCUGAGUUUGAGGUUAAGGCAUAAUUCAACAGCUAAUUAGAUGUGGUCUUUGAUCUCUCACUUGUGUUUCAUAACUGUCUCAUCUCCCUGACUAGAUUUUAAGUUCUUUGGGAGAAGAUAUCCCCACAAUCUCUUCUUUUGAAUCCUGGAGAUUACUUAACAUCCAACCUUGUACACAUUAGGAGAUGAGUACAAAUAUUUAUUCUUUAUCAGAUCAUAAUAAAAACGUUUCUUUAGUGAUCGUUUUAAGUUACCAGAAACAGAUGAUAAAGUAUGAGCUUUUAAAAUCAUGUUCCUUGGUUUCUACUCUUCUGUCAUUCAAUCUGCAGCUUACUAUAUGAUGUAAACAUACAUGGUCUGUCUAUGAUAAAACAUUUUAUACAAAAAGUCUUAUCAGCCUGGGCCUAUAACUUAAUAUAAAUUAGUUUUUCCUACUUGCAUGAGAAAUCAGGCUUAUAAUGAGAAUGCAUAUCCAGUGUACCUGCAAAGAAAAUUCUUUGAUAUGCUGUAGAGCAAAUAGGAACUGCAAUUUCAUUUAGAAGUUUGCAAGUGGCUUAUGUUCAAAGAGAAUAAGCCAGGAAAAGUGCGCCUGAUUUUCCUUCACUGCUGACUGCUAAACUGAAUCAAGUAAGAUCCUUUCCAUUUCAAGUUAUGGAACACACAACUCAAACUGCUUUAACACACUGGUUUAUCCACAUUGCUGAAAAGUCCAGAAGUAGAGUCAGUUUCAAGUAUUUGAUUAGGACUCCUCCUCUUCCUUUCCCCUGCAAUUCUCUCAGCUCUGUCCUAUUCUAAUACAGAAUUUAUUCUCAAGCAGGCUUCUAUCACUAUAGCAAAAUUACCGUGGACUUUUAGGCAUGAUAUAUGCAUCACCACAAUGUUGUUUCUCCAUCAAAUAUAAUAAAGUUAAACUGAUUACAUUAUCUUUCAGUUAAUACCUGGGCAUGAGAAAAUACCAUGGGAGUAUUUCAUCGGUGAUGGAAUUAUCUGUGAUUAAUUUUUACAUAUUAAAAAUCAAUCCUAGGGGCGCCUGGGUGGCGCAGUCGGUUAAGCGUCUGACUUCGGCCAGGUCACGAUCUCGCGGUCCGUGAGUUCGAGCCCCGCGUCAGGCUCUGGGCUGAUGGCUCAGAGCCUGGAGCCUGUUUCCGAUUCUGUGUCUCCCUCUCUCUCUGCCCCUCCCCCGUUCAUGCUCUGUCUCUCUCUGUCCCAAAAAUAAAUAAACGUUGAAAAAAAAUUAAAAAAAAAAAAUAAAUAAAAAUCAAUCCUAAACUGAUGCCCGCUUCAAUUCCUACCACAAGUCAUAAGAACAAUGCUGGGGAGAAAAAUCUCAAUGAAUUCUGUAAGAAACAGAAUUGAUUGUUUCCUUAUAAAGGUCCUACUUUUAGUUUCAUAUAGAUUAUUAUUAACCUCACCCAUAAUGAUAUUUUGAAUACCAAAGAAUAACUCAGAGGCAUGAGCACACUGGAUGUCAGGCUUCAAUUGUGAAGUGUUCAUGAUAACGUCGACACGAUCUCCCUAAUAACUGUGACCUCAUCAAUAAUAGGAACAUUUUGAGAAUUCAAUUAGUGUAGUGGUGCUUGGGUGGUGCAGCCAAUUGAGCCUCUGACUCUUGAUCUGGGCUUAGGUCAUGAUCUCACAGUUUGUGAGUUCAAGCCCCACAUCGGGCUCUGUGCUGAUGGUGUGGAGCCUGCUUAGGAUUCUCUCUCUCCUCUCAGUCUCUCCCCUACUUGUGUUCUCUCUCUCUCUCUCUCUCUUCUCAAAAUAAAUAAAUAAACUCAAAACAAUAAAACAAAAAAAGAAUUCAAUUACAUGUAAAUAUACCUAGAAAAAAAUCCUUAAGUGAAUAUUUAUUUUUGAAUUAACUAAUACAUCUUUACAUUAAUGUUAUGAAUCAAGAAAUGUUAUCCCCACUGUACACGUGAAGAAUCCGUGGUUUAGUGUUGACUGAGUGAUUUGUUAAAGUUUGUACAGCUAAACGUGAGAACAGAAGAGCACAAAAAGACAUUCUAAACCUAAAUCUCUUGCUAAUCUAUUAUAUUGGACAUAGGAGCCUGCAUAAAAAAGCAGGAUCUAAACUACACACUCUAAAAUAUUUAAGGUUAUGAAGAUAGAGCAAGAAUAUAAAAAUAAUAAAUACGUAAUGAAUCACUUGUAUAGCACUGUUCUUAGAUCAUAUAUUAAACUUCAUUAUGUAGUUUUCCACUUAGGAGCAAGGAAAUAAAGAAAGAUAAAUAUCAGCCCCUUGAUUUAAUAGAAGCCUGAGGAGUGAGGAAGGGGGGAAAAAAGGCAAAAGAAGAUCCCUGUCUCUAUUUGUGAUCAGGAUUUUUCAUGGUGAUCUCUUCAGUUGCUCUGUCUGGCUACAGAUGUACGUACAAAAGGAAAUAGAUGUAAAUCAAAGCAAGGAAAGUAGCCUUCUGACAAACUUCUUUCACGUUUAGGAAACCCACAUAUCUCAGUUUGUGGAAGAUGUUGCAGUUUCUCUAUACUUCCUGAAGCACAGAUUCCUGCUUCCACAGACUCCAUUCUACCCAACUCUCACCGUCUCUUUCAAUUUCUCCCUCUUCAAUGAAUUAAUUCCAGAAGCAAACAUGCUUUUCUUCUUCACAUUGAAAACUAAAUUAUGGUUCUCUCCCCAUUACCCUCUAGCUACUGACUCCUUUCUUUGUUCCAUCCAAUGCUUGUCUGUGGUCACUGAUUUUUAAUUUUAUUUCACCUGUUUGAACCCUUGCGUACAAAACCACUGUCCUCUAGUGUUCCACUGACACUAUAAAAACCAAGGUCAGCAAUUUUUCUAAGUUGCUGAUUCCAAUGUUCCAUUUUCAGUUAUCCUAGUUAACCUAGAAGCAGCAUUUGACAAAUUUCAUUAUUCAUCCUUGAAACGCAUCCUUGGCUUCUUGGACAUUGUUCCCUUUUGAUUUUUCCUUUCUCAUGCUCUUCCUUCACUUCUCAGAAAAUUAGGUAUUUUCUAAUUGCCCCAACCCCUGUAUGUUGAUGUGAACUUGGGCCCACUUCACAAAUACUUCCAUUUUUUUUCCUAUACUUAUUCUCUAGGUGAUCUCAUCUAGCCCCUUAACUUUAAAUAUCAUCUAUAUGCUAAUGACUUCAACAUUUAUAUCUAGAGCCAGAGACUUAUUCCUGAAUUUCAAGCACAUAAAUUCAGCUGCUAACAUCAAUCCUUAGAUGUCUAAAUUUCUGAUCUCCUCACCUCCCUACACCUGCCCUUCCCAUAGUCCAUCCCUAAGUCAAUAAAUGGGAACUUCAUUCUUUGACAGUCCCAUCCAUCAGCAAACCCUGGCAGUCCCAUAGUCUAAAUUGAGCCAGUAACGGUUUUGAAUGUCAUUACAAAUAUAUAUAUAUAUAGAUAGAUAGAUACAUAUAUAGAGAGAUACAUAUAUAUAUACAUAUAUAUAUAGAUAUAUGUAUAUAUAUAUAAAUAAUGUAUAUAUAUAAAUAUAUGUAUAUAUAUAAAUGUAUAUAUAUAAAUAAUGUGGUCCUUUAGCUCCAUAAAGUUUGUGCUUAAAU